AGCCGCGGUAAUACGGAGGGUGCGAGCGUUAAUCGGAAUUACUGGGCGUAAAGCGCAUGCAGGUGGUUUGUUAAGUCAGAUGUGAAAGCCCGGGGCUCAACCUCGGAAUUGCAUUUGAAACUGGCAAACUAGAGUACUGUAGAGGGGGUAGAAUUUCAGGUGUAGCGGUGAAAUGCGUAGAGAUCUGAAGGAAUACCGGUGGCGAAGGCGGCCCCCUGGACAGAUACUGACACUCAGAUGCGAAAGCGUGGGGAGCAAACAGGAUUAGAUACCCUGUAG
This 279-nucleotide ribosomal RNA is filed under the name uncultured bacterium. RNAcentral's name for it is "partial 16S ribosomal RNA". It matches the Rfam family "Bacterial small subunit ribosomal RNA", at positions 513 to 793 of the family's 1533-position model. The record is from RNAcentral.